Molecule: small nuclear RNA, 158 nt
Organism: Anoplophora glabripennis (Asian longhorned beetle)
Lineage: Eukaryota; Metazoa; Arthropoda; Insecta; Coleoptera; Cerambycidae
Product: U12 minor spliceosomal RNA
Exons: 1
Source: RefSeq, a predicted model, not a curated record
GUGCCUUAAACUAAUGAGUAAGGAAAAUAUACUAGCCUUGGUGAUGCUUGGCUUAAUUUUUAGGCUCAUCGCCUAAUCCCAAUUUUUGUAGAGGUACAGGUCGUCCUGUGGACAGCUGCCUACUUUUCGUAGUCGUCCUGGUGACAGCGAUCUGCCUC